GGAAGGUUGGCCGAGUGGUAAGGCAACGCCCUGCUAAGGCGUGACGCUCCAUGCGUUGGUGGGUUCGAUUCCCACACCUUCCG
This 83-nucleotide transfer RNA is filed under the name Deltaproteobacteria bacterium. RNAcentral describes it as "tRNA-Ser". It matches the Rfam family "tRNA". From Rfam's summary of the family: Transfer RNA (tRNA) molecules are approximately 80 nucleotides in length. Their secondary structure includes four short double-helical elements and three loops (D, anti-codon, and T loops). Further hydrogen bonds mediate the characteristic L-shaped molecular structure. tRNAs have two regions of fundamental functional importance: the anti-codon, which is responsible for specific mRNA codon recognition, and the 3' end, to which the tRNAs corresponding amino acid is attached (by aminoacyl-tRNA synthetases). tRNAs cope with the degeneracy of the genetic code in two manners: having more than one tRNA (with a specific anti-codon) for a particular amino acid; and 'wobble' base-pairing, i.e. permitting non-standard base-pairing at the 3rd anti-codon position. The record is from RNAcentral. Lineage: Bacteria; Pseudomonadati; Myxococcota; Myxococcia.